Molecule: ribosomal RNA, 1433 nt
Filed under: uncultured organism
Description: SSU rRNA
Rfam family: Bacterial small subunit ribosomal RNA
Source: RNAcentral
CUUAACACAUGCAAGUCGAGGGGCAGCAUGGUCUUAGCUUGCUAAGGCCGAUGGCGACCGGCGCACGGGUGAGUAACACGUAUCCAACCUGCCGUCUACUCUUGGACAGCCUUCUGAAAGGAAGAUUAAUACAAGAUGGCAUCAUGAGUCCGCAUGUUCACAUGAUUAAAGGUAUUCCGGUAGACGAUGGGGAUGCGUUCCAUUAGAUAGUAGGCGGGGUAACGGCCCACCUAGUCUUCGAUGGAUAGGGGUUCUGAGAGGAAGGUCCCCCACAUUGGAACUGAGACACGGUCCAAACUCCUACGGGAGGCAGCAGUGAGGAAUAUUGGUCAAUGGGCGAGAGCCUGAACCAGCCAAGUAGCGUGAAGGAUGACUGCCCUAUGGGUUGUAAACUUCUUUUAUAAAGGAAUAAAGUCGGGUAUGGAUACCCGUUUGCAUGUACUUUAUGAAUAAGGAUCGGCUAACUCCGUGCCAGCAGCCGCGGUAAUACGGAGGAUCCGAGCGUUAUCCGGAUUUAUUGGGUUUAAAGGGAGCGUAGAUGGAUGUUUAAGUCAGUUGUGAAAGUUUGCGGCUCAACCGUAAAAUUGCAGUUGAUACUGGAUAUCUUGAGUGCAGUUGAGGCAGGCGGAAUUCGUGGUGUAGCGGUGAAAUGCUUAGAUAUCACGAAGAACUCCGAUUGCGAAGGCAGCCUGCUAAGCUGCAACUGACAUUGAGGCUCGAAAGUGUGGGUAUCAAACAGGAUUAGAUACCCUGGUAGUCCACACGGUAAACGAUGAAUACUCGCUGUUUGCGAUAUACUGCAAGCGGCCAAGCGAAAGCGUUAAGUAUUCCACCUGGGGAGUACGCCGGCAACGGUGAAACUCAAAGGAAUUGACGGGGGCCCGCACAAGCGGAGGAACAUGUGGUUUAAUUCGAUGAUACGCGAGGAACCUUACCCGGGCUUAAAUUGCAGAUGAAUUACGGUGAAAGCCGUAAGCCGCAAGGCAUCUGUGAAGGUGCUGCAUGGUUGUCGUCAGCUCGUGCCGUGAGGUGUCGGCUUAAGUGCCAUAACGAGCGCAACCCUUGUUGUCAGUUACUAACAGGUUCCGCUGAGGACUCUGACAAGACUGCCAUCGUAAGAUGUGAGGAAGGUGGGGAUGACGUCAAAUCAGCACGGCCCUUACGUCCGGGGCUACACACGUGUUACAAUGGGGGGUACAGAGGGCCGCUACCACGCGAGUGGAUGCCAAUCCCCAAAACCUCCCUCAGUUCGGACUGGAGUCUGCAACCCGACUCCACGAAGCUGGAUUCGCUAGUAAUCGCGCAUCAGCCACGGCGCGGUGAAUACGUUCCCGGGCCUUGUACACACCGCCCGUCAAGCCAUGGGAGCCGGGGGUACCUGAAGUGCGUAACCGAGAGGAGCGCCCUAGGGUAAAACUGGUGACUGGGGCUAA